CUAGCCGUAAACGAUGGAUACUAGGCGUUGUGAGUAUCGACCCUCACAGUGUCGUAGCUAACGCGUUAAGUAUCCCGCCUGGGGAGUACGCGUGCAAGCGUGAAACUCAAAGGAAUUGACGGGGGCCCGCACAAGCGGUGGAGUAUGUGGUUUAAUUCGAUGCAACGCGAAGAACCUUACCAGGACUUGACAUGUCGCGAAUCUCAGGGAAACUUGAGAGUGCCUUCGGGAGCGCGAACACAGGUGGUGC
This 250-nucleotide ribosomal RNA is filed under the name uncultured Chroococcidiopsis sp. RNAcentral describes it as "partial 16S ribosomal RNA". It matches the Rfam family "Bacterial small subunit ribosomal RNA", at positions 796 to 1044 of the family's 1533-position model. The record is from RNAcentral. Lineage: Bacteria; Bacillati; Cyanobacteriota; Cyanophyceae; Chroococcidiopsidales; Chroococcidiopsidaceae.